Molecule: ribosomal RNA, 467 nt
Filed under: uncultured bacterium
Lineage: Bacteria
Description: partial 16S ribosomal RNA
Rfam family: Bacterial small subunit ribosomal RNA
Source: RNAcentral
GAUGAACGCUGGCGGCGUGCUUAACACAUGCAAGUCGAACGGAAAGGCCCAAGCUUGCUUGGGUACUCGAGUGGCGAACGGGUGAGUAACACGUGGGUGAUCUGCCCUGCACUUCGGGAUAAGCCUGGGAAACUGGGUCUAAUACCGGAUAGGACCACUUCUUGGAUGUUGUGGUGGAAAGUUUUUUCGGUGUGGGAUGAGCUCGCGGCCUAUCAGCUUGUUGGUGGGGUAAUGGCCUACCAAGGCGUCGACGGGUAGCCGGCCUGAGAGGGUGUACGGCCACAUUGGGACUGAGAUACGGCCCAGACUCCUACGGGAGGCAGCAGUGGGGAUUAUUGCACAAUGGGCGCAAGCCUGAUGCAGCGACGCCGCGUGGGGGAUGACGGCCUUCGGGUUGUAAACUCCUUUCGCUAGGGACGAAGCGUUUUGUGACGGUACCUGGAGAAGAAGCACCGGCUAACUACGUG